Molecule: ribosomal RNA, 179 nt
Filed under: Staphylococcus cohnii
Lineage: Bacteria; Bacillati; Bacillota; Bacilli; Caryophanales; Staphylococcaceae
Description: partial 16S ribosomal RNA
Rfam family: Bacterial small subunit ribosomal RNA
Source: RNAcentral
UUUAUGGAGAGUUUGAUCCUGGCUCAGGAUGAACGCUGGCGGCGUGCCUAAUACAUGCAAGGCGAGCGAACAGAUAAGGAGCUUGCUCCUUUGACGUUAGCGGCGGACGGGUGAGUAACACGUGGGUAACCUACCUAUAAGACUGGAAUAACUCCGGGAAACCGGGGCUAAUGCCGGAU